GACGAACGCUGGCGGCGUGCUUAACACAUGCAAGUCGAACGGAAAGGCCCUGCUUUUGUGGGGUGCUCGAGUGGCGAACGGGUGAGUAACACGUGAGUAACCUGCCCUUGACUUUGAGAUAACUUCAGGAAACUGGGGCUAAUACCGGAUAGGAGCUCCUGCUGCAUGGUGGGGGUUGGAAAGUUUCGGCGGUUGGGGAUGGACUCGCGGCUUAUCAGCUUGUUGGUGGGGUAGUGGCUUACCAAGGCUUUGACGGGUAGCCGGCCUGAGAGGGUGACCGGCCACAUUGGGACUGAGAUACGGCCCAGACUCCUACGGGAGGCAGCAGUGGGGAAUAUUGCACAAUGGGCGGAAGCCUGAUGCAGCAACGCCGCGUGCGGGAUGACGGCCUUCGGGUUGUAAACCGCUUUCGCCUGUGACGAAGCGUGAGUGACGGUAAUGGGUAAAGAAGCACCGGCUAACUACGCG
This 468-nucleotide ribosomal RNA is filed under the name uncultured bacterium. Its description in RNAcentral is "partial 16S ribosomal RNA". It matches the Rfam family "Bacterial small subunit ribosomal RNA", at positions 28 to 507 of the family's 1533-position model. The record is from RNAcentral.